Molecule: ribosomal RNA, 244 nt
Filed under: uncultured bacterium
Lineage: Bacteria
Description: partial 16S ribosomal RNA
Rfam family: Bacterial small subunit ribosomal RNA
Source: RNAcentral
UACGUAGGGUGCAAGCGUUAAUCGGAAUUACUGGGCGUAAAGCGUGCGCAGGCGGUGAUGUAAGACAGGUGUGAAAUCCCCGGGCUUAACCUGGGAACUGCAUUUGUGACUGCAUCGCUGGAGUGCGGCAGAGGGGGAUGGAAUUCCGCGUGUAGCAGUGAAAUGCGUAGAUAUGCGGAGGAACACCGAUGGCGAAGGCAAUCCCCUGGGCCUGCACUGACGCUCCAGUGCACGAAAGCGUGGG